GAUGAACGCUGGCGGCGUGCCUAAUACAUGCAAGUCGAGCGAACAGAUGAGGAGCUUGCUCCUCUGACGUUAGCGGCGGACGGGUGAGUAACACGUGGAUAACCUACCUAUAAGACUGGGAUAACUUCGGGAAACCGGAGCUAAUACCGGAUAAUAUAUUGAACCGCAUGGUUCAAUAGUUCAAGACGGUUUUGCUGUCACUUAUAGAUGGAUCCGCGCCGCAUUAGCUAGUUGGUAAGGUAACGGCUUACCAAGGCAACGAUGCGUAGCCGACCUGAGAGGGUGAUCGGCCACACUGGAACUGAGACACGGUCCAGACUCCUACGGGAGGCAGCAGUAGGGAAUCUUCCGCAAUGGGCGAAAGCUUGACGGAGCAACGCCGCGUGAGUGAUGAAGGUCUUCGGAUCGUAAAACUCUGUUAUUAGGGAAGAACAAAUGUGUAAGUAACUAUGCACGUCUUGACGGUACCUAAUCAGAAAGCCACGGCUAACUACGUG
RNAcentral lists this ribosomal RNA (497 nucleotides) under uncultured bacterium. RNAcentral's name for it is "partial 16S ribosomal RNA". It matches the Rfam family "Bacterial small subunit ribosomal RNA", at positions 28 to 507 of the family's 1533-position model. The record is from RNAcentral.